AUGGCGAGAGGUAGUAGCCGCCCAGAGAACUUUGGUGUGACAAAACCUCGGUCAUACGCUUACCCGACGGAGCCCGAAAUCCACAACACCUGCAACCUAUUGGAGGUUCUAGACCAACACCAUCCGUGCAAGAGCGCGGAGGAGCGUUUCCUGCAAUCAAGUGCCUUGGAUAAACUGAAUAAAAUUGUUCAAGAUUGGGUGAAAGAGUUAACUCCCAGGGGGAUCAAGGAGGUCAAUGCGAUUUUUUUCGCUUUUGGCUCAUACUUUCUACAGGUGGAUGAAUUUGCUGAUCCGAUUGACACUAUAUGCAUAGGCCCGAGUUUUGUAGAUCAUGAGCAUGGAUUUUUCAAGAUAUUUCAUGAUAAAAUGUGUCAAAUGAAUGAAGUGACCCGAUUGAAGUCUGUUCGUAAUACAAAUGUGCCUUUUAUGGAGUUUAAGCUGGAUGGUGUCCCUAUUAAAAUUGUCUAUGCUAGUCUUCCUUACUCAGUAAUCCCAUUUAACUUUGAUCUGCAUCAAGCAAAUGUGCUUAGCAUGGAUGACGUGUCACGGAAUAGUUUUGAUGCAUGUAGAGUGACUAACGAAAUAUAUAGGCUGGUCCCGUGUAAUAAGACUUUUACGAUCGCAUUAAGAACUGUGAAAAUUUGGGCUAAAUCAAGAGGUCUUCUAUCCAAUGUUAUUGGUUUUCUUGGAGACUGCGAUUGGGCAAUACUGGUUGGACGUAUCUGCCAAGCACAUCCAUUUGCCACGCUCAGCACUAUUGUUUUUGAGUUUUUCAGCAUAUUCUCUGUGUGGUUUUGGCCAAACCCGGUUAUGCUCGUGGACCCACGUUCGGAUCCACAUCGUCUUCCUGUAUGGGAUCCUCAUACAAAUAGGAAUGAUAUUAUGCCAAUAAUCAGUCCAGUAUUCCCAUGCAAAAAUAUAAGAGCUGAUGCCUCCGCGAGCACGCUUCGGGAUAUGAUAUAUCAUUUUAAGUGUGGUUAUGAGCAGUGUAAACUAAUAAAGGUGAAUAACAACUGGAGGGAUCUAUUUAUGCCGUAUAAAUUCUUUGAGGAAUAUAUUCGAUACGUGCAUAUUGAUCUUACGGCGGAUACCGAACAAAAACUUGAGCUUUGGAAGAAAAUUGGAGAAUCUGAAUUGCUGGUGCUGAUUUCAAAGAUUGAAGCGGGCAGGGGACAACUGAUCUGCCAUAUCUGUCCGACGGAGCACUUGAGUAGCGACUCUUGUUCGUUUUUCAUUGGCCUGUCAACUAAAAAACUGAUAGUGGGCCGUGCAAUUCCCUAA
This 1281-nucleotide ribosomal RNA is filed under the name Triticum aestivum (bread wheat). RNAcentral's name for it is "partial small subunit ribosomal RNA". The record is from RNAcentral. Lineage: Eukaryota; Viridiplantae; Streptophyta; Magnoliopsida; Poales; Poaceae.